RNAcentral lists this transfer RNA (57 nucleotides) under Camelus bactrianus (Bactrian camel). It matches the Rfam family "tRNA", at positions 8 to 63 of the family's 71-position model. Rfam says of the family: Transfer RNA (tRNA) molecules are approximately 80 nucleotides in length. The record is from Rfam by way of RNAcentral. Lineage: Eukaryota; Metazoa; Chordata; Mammalia; Artiodactyla; Camelidae. RNAcentral also lists the same sequence under 2 other names.
UAGCUCAGUGGUAGAGCUCGUGCUUAGCAUGCACGAGGUCCUGGGUUCAAUUCCCAG